CAUGUUAAAAACAGUUCAACUAUGUUGAUUGUAAUUAUGAAGUAAAAAUGUAAAUGUUUCUAGAUACUGAUCCUGGAAAUGAUUGAUUGCUUAUUUGCAAAUCAUUUUUUAUAUUGUUGUCAUUACCUUGGUUGAACAUCCCAAGAAGCUGGUCUCAUUGGCUGUUGGUUUAUCAGCCUGGGCCAUCACAACUUUUGGCCCCCAAGGUGUUGGCUCCUCUUGUUUUCUCUGUCCAGAGACAACCCGAGCAGUUGGCUGGUUCACCUUCUACAAUGAGAAACGGCCACUCAUCAACACACAGAGUCUUGUCAUCCCCCUCCGGUUGAGCAAACUGCAAAGACAUAGUAAGAAUUAUAUGUACAUUACAAUUGAGAAAUGGAAACCCAAAAUUACACUUUCUUAGGAACUUAGAGAAAAUAUCAAAAGAAUAGAGAACCGCACUCUAUUCACUGAAUGUGUUUAAUCAUUACAUGUUGUAUGCAAAUUACCUUGCUCGAAUGCACAAAGACGCUGCCCUCCAGAGUGGCUGGCACAGCAGCUUCUGGAACAGGUCGAGGAGGAGGUACGCCCUCCAGAGUAGCUGGUACAGCAGCUUCUGGAACAGGUCGAGGGGGAGGUACCAGCUUCGAAGCUAUCAUACCAAUGUACAAACCUCAUGAGGAAGGAUCCGCACGGAAAACUGAUCCCAGUCCUCAGGCGCAUCCCAGGACUCAGUUUCCUUGAAGGGGUCAAGGGGACGUGGACGUGAAACUUCUCCCUUCACAACCACGGUAGUAGCAAAGGGUCUCACAGUCGGCGGUGACUUGGGAGGAGACACAGGCGGAGGUGUAACAGGCAGAGGUGACUGUAGCUGCCGAAAGGAGAAGUGCCACAGAAGCUUCGCGAGAAGCGGCAUCCCCAGAUCGUCACUCAGGUGGAUCUAUUAUAAUGAGAAGCACGGGUUAUUAUUGAAAUAAACUGCUUUUGCCGUAUAAAAAUGACAUUUCAUGAAUUUCUCACGUGCCAAGUUAUAACACGACUUACCCCAUCACGACUCCACAAGGCACGCGAGUCCAGCGGAAAGCGGUCAGCUGUGACGCAGUACUUUACACCUGCAGAAGAAUACAAAUAUUAAACCAUACACUAUAUUCAUAUUUUACACGUGGUACCAAGAGGUGGUGUUGAUACACUAAAAGCUUUCCUACAAAGAUAUUCUAUACUGACAUUAUCUCUUAAUCAUUUUUACAUACCGUUCUUUACUGCAACGCGACGAAACUCCUCUCGAAGGAAUUGUUGCGGUGCCAAUUCACUCGCCAGCCGGGGAGGGAAAUCGAGCACAAACACCUGAUCCGCA
RNAcentral lists this long non-coding RNA (1333 nucleotides) under Gadus morhua (Atlantic cod). RNAcentral describes it as "lncRNA (ENSGMOG00000031406.1)". The record is from RNAcentral. Lineage: Eukaryota; Metazoa; Chordata; Actinopteri; Gadiformes; Gadidae.